This 509-nucleotide ribosomal RNA is filed under the name uncultured bacterium. RNAcentral describes it as "bacterial SSU rRNA". It matches the Rfam family "Bacterial small subunit ribosomal RNA", at positions 9 to 514 of the family's 1533-position model. The record is from RNAcentral.
GAGUUUGAUCCUGGCUCAGAUUGAACGCUGGCGGCAGGCCUAACACAUGCAAGUCGAGCGGUAGAGAGAAGCUUGCUUCUCUUGAGAGCGGCGGACGGGUGAGUAAUGCCUAGGAAUCUGCCUGGUAGUGGGGGAUAACGCUCGGAAACGGACGCUAAUACCGCAUACGUCCUACGGGAGAAAGCAGGGGACCUUCGGGCCUUGCGCUAUCAGAUGAGCCUAGGUCGGAUUAGCUAGUUGGUGAGGUAAUGGCUCACCAAGGCGACGAUCCGUAACUGGUCUGAGAGGAUGAUCAGUCACACUGGAACUGAGACACGGUCCAGACUCCUACGGGAGGUAGCAGUGGGGAAUAUUGGACAAUGGGCGAAAGCCUGAUCCAGCCAUGCCGCGUGUGUGAAGAAGGUCUUCGGAUUGUAAAGCACUUUAAGUUGGGAGGAAGGGCAGUAAAUUAAUACUUUGCUGUUUUGACGUUACGACAGAAUAAGCACCGGCUAACUCUGUGCCAGCAG